GGAUGAAGGACGGUACAUUUUACUCUAGUGACAAGACGACAGUUUUCUAAAAGGAGAAGCCAACACAGACGCAAGAAAAGCCCGAUGGCAAAGAUGACUGAUUAUCUUCCAUAUGUAUUGAUGAAAUGAAGUAUUCUUUAAAACA
Molecule: long non-coding RNA, 145 nt
Organism: Haliotis rubra (blacklip abalone)
Lineage: Eukaryota; Metazoa; Mollusca; Gastropoda; Lepetellida; Haliotidae
Exons: 2
Source: RefSeq, a predicted model, not a curated record